UAUUAGGUUGGUGCAAAAGUAAUUGCAGGCUUUGUCAAUACCUUUAAAAGCAAAAACCGUAAUUACUUUUGCACCAACCUAAUA
RNAcentral lists this microRNA precursor (84 nucleotides) under Chlorocebus sabaeus (green monkey). Its description in RNAcentral is "miRNA (ENSCSAG00000026897.1)". Lineage: Eukaryota; Metazoa; Chordata; Mammalia; Primates; Cercopithecidae. The record is from RNAcentral.